RNAcentral lists this long non-coding RNA (3528 nucleotides) under Homo sapiens (human). RNAcentral describes it as "non-protein coding MIR1-1HG-AS1:48". Lineage: Eukaryota; Metazoa; Chordata; Mammalia; Primates; Hominidae. The record is from RNAcentral.
CUCCUUCGCUGCUCUGAGCCUCCAGUGGGCUGAGCCCACCCAGGCCACCAGGAGUGGGUGGCCCCCUCCACAGUCCCAUCGGCUCUGCCCUUUUGCCUAGAAUUGGGGCCAGGAUCAGGUGGUGACAGAGCCACCUGGGUUUCCGGAGACUCUCAAGCCAACCCCAAGUCAUGACAAAUGCCAGUCGCCUUGGACAGAGGCAAGGUCAACCUGCUUGCCGCCCCCAGCCAGGCCCUGCCACCAAGGGUGUGUGAUGGGGAGACCCCAAUCCCGGGUGCUGGACGGGCUCAGGAGCUCCCCCUUCCGGGAUUUCACGCCCGAAUUAUGUAACAGACGAGGGCCUGGGACGGGGCCUGACGGGGAUCUGUCCUUGCAGGGCCUGGACGCAGAGACCAGAGGCCUGAACUGGCAGACUGUCCUCACAGGCUGUGUGACGCUGGCUGGUCGUCCCAUCUCUCUGGGGCCCCACAGGACUGGGGACCAGGUCGUGGAAUGACAGUGGACCACAGUGGUCCGGGGACCCCGCUCGUUGGUGGCAGGCACAGGCCCGUGUGAUGGGGACAAUGAGCUUUGGUGGUUUAAGGCGUGAAUGAAUGAAGGAGCAAGCAGUAAGCCCCGACAGCAAGGCCACCACAGCCCUCGCCCCACAGGGACGCCUGAGCAAGGACCCAAGCAGGGGACAAGCAGGCUCACCCCGCCCUUGCGGGGCUGACCACGAGGCCCCGUCCGGUGGAACACGCCAUGACGCUUCAGGAGGCUCAUGUAGCUGGCGCCGUAUGGGACAGCGGGGGAGAGAGAAAAUGCACAGCCCAGGGAAUGUGGAGACAGGCCCAGCGCCAGGCAUGGGGGCCGGAAGGAGCAGCCGGGGAGCAGGGGGCAGGGCCUGGAGUCCCGCCUUGCAGGUCAGAGAUCUGAACCUGCCCCAGCCCCAGGACUCUGAGUGCAGCAAGAGGGGAGCCGGGCUGGAGAGUGGGGAGCACGGAGACUGUGGCCUGGAUGGUGCCAGAGCAAACAGGAGAGAGGCUGCCCAACGCAGAGGCUGCAGCACAGACCAGAGGGUCCCGGGGCUGACUGGGUGGGGGCAGCUCCCAGCGAGAGGCCCCUGGGAUUUGGGUAAGUAGAGGCACAUGCAGACUCUGGCCACAGGGCACCUCGCGCACGAGGGGAGUUCACCACACAAGCUGAGCGGAGGGCGGACGCAGGAGAGCAGCGGUUUCUCGGAAGCCAAGGGCGGUCAUGGAGCCCCACGCCACAGCGCUUCCCACGGGGCCACACCAUCCGGUCUGCGGAGGGGGCUGCAUUGCCGGGAAGGACCAUCUGAUUCUGGAUUCCAGCCUCACCCUGGGCCACCGCUGAGUGUCCCAAGUGGCCCCUUAGCCCCCAGGGCCAGGCGGCAUCCCAAUCCCCUAGGGAUGUCUGUGCUCAGAAUGUGGCACACACGCCCCGGCAGGGCCAUCCUCCUCCUCCUGCACCCGCCACAGCCGUGGAUUCGGGGUCUCUAUCGUGGGCAGAAAUUCACACAGUCAAGGUGAGGGUCCCAGGAGCAGCUGUGACCAGGCCCCGGCUGCCAGGGAGAGGGGGUCUUCAGCCGACGGGGCAGACACCCUGAGAUGGACCCUUGUCCAGGGGAGGGCCCUGCCACCCACAAUUCCUUGGCAUUCCUGCACCAGCAGGACGGGCUGAGGGAGGCGCCUCACCAGUGCCAGCGCCCAGCAUCACUGUGCCCCGGUGGAGGGGGAGGCCCUUCCGAGCCUGGGCCUGGGUGUGGAUGAGGGCAGGUCUCUCACCUCUCUGACCUCAGCUUCCUCAACUGGGAAGGGGGGCCACAGCACCCCCUUAGGGGUGAUGAGGAAGUGGGAGCUCAGGGAGGACCCCGGGCAGGGCUGCCUCCUCACCUCUCUUCGGCCUUUGGACACUGGAGCUCAGAGGACCAAGUGAAUGAAUGAAUGACUCGAUCAAUCAACUGAUCCAUGAAUCCAUGGACCCCUGAACAGCUGGACAGCUGGGCUGUGGGCAGGACAGGGGACUCUGGCUGAAGCCGCGUUCAUAUGUGUUCAGCUUUGUGAGUGGGGCGAGGUUGAGGGCUUAUUCAGUGGGGGAGGUGCACGGCAGGGCCAGUACCCUUGGAGGGUCAGGCCACAGGGGCGGGGACACCUGCCAGGAUGCCCAACCCCAGAGGCAGUGGGAGCUGUUGGGGAGCCGUGGUCCCAGUCAGCGGUGGCUUGAUGAGGGCUGCUCCCACUUCAUCCGCAGGAUUCCAGCCGCAGCUACCCCACACCCGAGCUGUCCCUAGUCGCCCACCGCGGCCGGACAAAGCCCCAGCAGCCAAGGUGCUCCGUGGGGAGGGUUUCUUGGGUUUCUUGAAGCCAGUAUUUCCCAUAGUAUCUUACGUCCCAGCAGAGGCCUCCACUGUGCCCGGACCAGCGGCCCACUCAGUGAGUCGAGUGUGCACCUGGCACCCCUCUUUCUGGAAAUCCACGAACAAUGGGCUCCCAGCAGAGGACUGAGGCUGAGCAGGCCACUUCCCUGGAGCUGACCCCACAGCUGUGUAGGUACAGGGUGGCCGUGAACACUUAGGGCUCUCUCGGGCUGUGCGCUUCUUGUUCACUGCAAGGAGCAGGGUGUUGGCUCCUGACCAAGCCCUGUCACUGCUGCCCAGCCACACGUGGGGCCCCUUCACCCACCCCUGACCACCUCAUGCAGGUGAAGCCACUGUGGAAACAGCCUGGCAGUCCCUUGAAAAAUGAAGUCAUAAACCCCAGCAAUUGCACUCCUGGGCCUCUGACAGAGCUUGCACGUCCCCUCCAAAGCUCGUGUUAAGCUGUGAGCCCCAGUGCCGGAGGUGGGGCCUGGUGUGUUUGGGUUCUGGGGGUGGAUCCCUCAUGGCUGGGUGCCAUGAACCCACUCACCACAGUGAGUUCUCACGAGAUCUGGUUGUUGAGAAGUGUGUCAUACCUCCCCCACAACUCUCUGUCUUUUGUUCCGGCUCUGGCAAUGUAACAAGCCUGCUCCUCCUUCGCCUUCUGCCAUGACUGUAAGCUUUCUGAGGGCUGACCAGAAGCCCAGCAGAUGCCAGCACCAUGCUUCCUAUACAGCCUGCAGAACCGUGAGCCAGCUAAACCUCUCCUCAUAAAUCACCGAGCCCCAGGUUUAUCUUUACAGCAAUGCAAGACCUGACUAAUACAGCACCAGCUCCCCAAAAUAAAAAGAAAUAUUCAAACAAAUAAGCGCACAGAAGUGUUCCCAGCAGCACUAUUCACAGCAGCCAAAAGGCGGAGGAGCCACAGGCUUGUCAGCUGAUGACAGAUAAAGAAAGCAUGGCCUGUCAUCCCAGCACUUUGGGAGGCCGAGGUGGGUGGAUCACCUGAGGUUGGGAGUUCAAGACCAGCCUGGCCAACAUGGUGAAACCCAGUCUCUACUAAAAAUAUAAAAAUUAGCUGGGUGUGAUGAUGAGCGCCUGUAGUCCCAGCUACUUGGAAGGCUGAGGAACAAGAAUCGCUUGAACCCGGGAGGCAGAGGUCGCAGUGA